CAAAGAACUUUGAAGAGAGAGUUCAACAGGACGUGAAACCGUGCUGAGAAUAAACGUGCGACUUGGAACGUUGGUGAUGAUUCAACGACACGUAGUGUUGUGCAUUUCUUCACCGUGGCGACCGUUGAGAAGGGGGUACUGAACGUGUGAUUAGAGGGCUGCUUGCAGUAACCUAUUUAUACGCGGAUGUCCGUAUCUCAAUUGGAGUACCGAUUUCGUUGCGAUGGCUGUGCUGCGACGAUUUACCGGGGCAGGACUUCGUGCGCCUGUGUUGGAAGUCCUCGUACGUGCGACACGCUCGAUGGUGUCUUGUUGCCAGAGUUCGACGUUGCUCGACCCGUCUUGAAACACGGACCAAGGAGUCUAAAUUGUGCGCAAGCCAUUGGAUAACAUCCAUAGGCGAAACGAAUGUGAUAAGGUUGGAUCGUUUGCGUACUUCCAACAUGUGUUUUGUUCGCAUUACACUUCGUCGGAGUGCACAGAUUAGUACCCGAAAGAUGGUGAACUAUGCUUGAGCAGGACGAAGCUAGAGGAAACUCUGGUGGAAGUCCGAAGCGGUUCUGACGUGCAAAUCGAUCGUCUGACUUGAGUAUAGGGGCGAAAGACUAAUCGAACCAUC
Molecule: ribosomal RNA, 619 nt
Filed under: Halalaimus sp. Cr74a
Lineage: Eukaryota; Metazoa; Nematoda; Enoplea; Enoplida; Oxystominidae
Description: eukaryotic LSU rRNA
Rfam family: Eukaryotic large subunit ribosomal RNA
Source: RNAcentral